Molecule: long non-coding RNA, 1912 nt
Filed under: Brassica napus (rape)
Lineage: Eukaryota; Viridiplantae; Streptophyta; Magnoliopsida; Brassicales; Brassicaceae
Description: long non-coding RNA (BNAP_LNC003248)
Source: RNAcentral
ACUCCGGUUAACUGGAUUCAAGAAGCCAACGUGCCUGUCCAGCUUGGAUUGUAAGAAAACAAACAAACAAAUAUUAACGAAUAAAACAGUAUGUGAUAAUGUAAAGAGGUAACGAUAUACGACCUCGUCUCUGGGGACCAGGGCUCUUUUUGAUAUUAUUAUACAAUAUAGGGGUUCUAGACAUUGUGGGAUGAAGUUUGUAUAAGAUUGCUUUUGUUUCACGUGCAAAAAAAAAAAAAAAACUAAUGUUGUUUCAGUUGUUUUACCCUUUUUAUCCUAAAUAAUGAAUUUCUUCUAACCAUUUUGUUGUGUGUAUAUAUAUCCCUAUCCUUUUUCUGUUACAAUAUGAACUAAAUAAUAUGAUUGAUAGAUAAAACUUCGUAAAAACAAACAAACCAAUAUAUUUAUCUACAAUUUAUGUGUAAACAUGUACUAGCUAGUUUUCUUCAAAAAAAUAUGUACUAGCUAGUUUGAUAAAAUAUAAACCAAAUACACAUCUAACGCCCGUUGAUAAAAAUAAUGUUUGAUGUGUUUCUUUUAAUUUUUGUUUGGUUUUCAAAUAGAUUUCGCUUCUGUUUUUAAUUUGGUUUCGAUGGGGAGCCAUAUAAUAUAACUCUCAGGUGCAAUAUAUCAGAAACUACCGGUUAGCAGUGACCAGAGGGGACAACUUAUAUGUCAGGAGGUGUAAUCUUACCUCUAUUCAACUCCAAUACAGGAAUCAGAAUCAAGACUUCUCCUGGAAGAGGAGGGUACGUUAGAAACGUUCAUGUAUCAAACGUGAAGCUAGAUAAUGUGCAGAAAGCUAUCAGGUGCACUGGUAAGUAUGGUGAACAUCAUGAGAUUUGAUCCUACAGCACGUCCGGCUAUAUAGAGAGUCACGUUUGAGAAUGUUGAUGGUGAAGGUAUUGGUGUUGCGGGUCUUAGUGAAUGUAUAGAAUUAGAUGAAUUUAAGAAUAUAUGUUCCUUAAUGUUACUAUAUUACGGUGAAGAAUAAUCCCUAAUAAAGAAGAACUCGAAGAAAGCUCCAUGGAGAUGCUCAAAUGUUAGAGACUAUUCACACCGUGUGAACGGAGACCGUGCAGUCAUAUUCAACUGUAGAUUUGACGCUUUCCAAGACACACUCUACGUCAACAACGGACGUCAGUUCUACAGGAACAUUGUUGUGUCCGGUACAGUCGAUUUCAUCUUUGGAAAGUCCGCGACCGUGAUCCAAAACUCUCUAAUCCUCAUCCGAAAGGGUAGCCAGGGACAGGCCCAUUACGUUACAGCCGACGGUAACGAGAAAGGUGCAGCAGUCAAGAUCGGUAUCGUUCUUCAGAACUGCCGUAUCAUGGCUGACAAAGACCUCGAAGCUGAAAAGCUAACCACCAAAUCGUACCUAGGACGGCCGUGGAAGAAAUUUUCCACCACCGUAAUUAUUGGAACUGAGAUUAGUGAUGUGAUUAAGCCAGAAGGAUGGUCCGAAUGGAAAGGAGAAGCUAACCACAAAACCGCUAAAUACAUUGAGUUCAAUAACCGUGGACCAGGAGCUAACACUGCUGCUAGGGUUCCUUGGGCCACGAUCGCUAAGUCUGCGGCUGAGGUUGAAGGUUUCACCGUCGCUAAAUGGUUGACUCCGGUUAACUGGAUUCAAGAAGCCAACGUGCCUGUCCAGCUUGGAUUGUAAGAAAACAAACAAACAAAUAUUAACGAAUAAAACAGUAUGUGAUAAUGUAAAGAGGUAACGAUAUACGACCUCGUCUCUGGGGACCAGGGCUCUUUUUGAUAUUAUUAUACAAUAUAGGGGUUCUAGACAUUGUGGGAUGAAGUUUGUAUAAGAUUGCUUUUGUUUCACGUGCAAAAAAAAAAAAAAAACUAAUGUUGUUUCAGUUGUUUUACCCUUUUUAUCCUAAAUAAUGAAUUUCUUCUAACC